This 342-nucleotide ribosomal RNA is filed under the name Ixodes hexagonus (hedgehog tick). RNAcentral's name for it is "partial 16S ribosomal RNA". Lineage: Eukaryota; Metazoa; Arthropoda; Arachnida; Ixodida; Ixodidae. The record is from RNAcentral.
GGUAUUGAAAUAAGGCUUUAAAUGGGUGCUAAGAGAAUGGUUUAACGAUUAAUAACUUUCUUUAAUUAAUAAAUUGAAUUUAAUUUUUUUGUGAAGAAGCAAAAAUUUAAAUUAGGGACAAGAAGACCCUAUGAAUUUUUAUUAGAUUGUGAUGAGAAUUAAUUGAAAUCUAAUUUGGUUGGGGUGAUUAAAAAAGAAUAUAUAUCUUUUUGUAUUAAAGAAAUUAAUUUGUUCCGUUAUUAACGAUUAAAUGAGAAAAAUACUCUAGGGAUAACAGCGUAAUAAUUUUGGAUAGUUCAUAUAGAUAAAAUAGUUUGCGACCUCGAUGUUGGAUUAGGAUCC